UUUUUAAGAAUUGAACAUCUGAGUUAAAGUUGUGUCUGAGUUUACAGCAGUGGUAAAAAAGAAUUUCGAGUGNGUUACUUUUUGUAUAACGGUUAAACAAAAAUUUUACUAUAUAGUAAUUCCCGAAAUAAGAAGAUCUAAGUUAUUAUAAACCAUUUUAGUGUUUAAAUUUAAUGUGGCAAUAUUAAAGGAAGAUGGUAACUUAGGGGCGAAAAGCUUACAAUUUUUAUGAUAUCUGGAUAGGAGGUAAAAGUAUAUAGUACUUUAUAAAACAGGCAUAUGGUGUUGAGAUCUUAUGUUAAGAGAAUAGAAUUUUAGUUGUUAGUUUUUUGAGUUAAUCCUCCUAAAGUUAACUAAAUUUAUAAUUAAUUUAAAUGUUUAUCUCCUUAAAUUAGUUAAACCUUCGUUUUCUAGAGAAUUUACCCUAGAAGUAAUAAUGUUUAAAUUAGUAAUAAGAUAGUAUAUAGUUAAUAAGCUUAGAGUAAGGAACUCGGCAAAUAUUAACUUCGUCUGUUUAUCAAAAACAUAGUCUAAAGAAAUUUUAUUUUAGAUAAAACCUGCCCAGUGCUAACUAUAGUAAAUGGCCGCAGUACCCUGACUGUGCUAAGGUAGCGUAAUCAGUUGGCUUUUAAUUGGAGUCGUGUAUGAACGGAUUUUUGGAGUUAGGCUGUCUCACUCAAGUUUAAUUGAAUUUAAUCAAAGGGUGAAAAUGCCCUUAAGUAGAUAAAGGACGAUAAGACCCUUGGAGUUUUUAUUAAAAACUAUAAAAUUUAGUUUGAUGUUUUUGCUGGGGCGGCACAGAGGCAUCAUAAACCCUCUGCUACAAUUGGCCGACAUUAAUAAGUUAAGUUAAACUACCCGAGGGAUAACAGCAUUAUUCUUAAAAGAGUUUGUGACCUCGAUGUUGGACUAGGAAUUCUUUAGAUUAGCCGUCUAGAUAUAUUGUUCUGUUCGAACUAUUAUUCCU
RNAcentral lists this ribosomal RNA (967 nucleotides) under Volvatella angeliniana. Its description in RNAcentral is "partial 16S ribosomal RNA". The stretch from base 447 to 967 matches the Rfam family "Archaeal large subunit ribosomal RNA", at positions 1423 to 2665 of the family's 2987-position model. The record is from RNAcentral. Lineage: Eukaryota; Metazoa; Mollusca; Gastropoda; Volvatellidae.